CAACUUCCAACGGUGGAUCUCUUGGCUCGUGCAUCGAUGAAGAACGCAGCCAGCUGCGAUAUGUAGUGUGAAUUGCAGAACCCAGCGAAUCAUCGAAUCUUUGAACGCAAAUGGCGCUCCUUGGUUCUCCAUGGAGCACGUCCGUCUGAGCGUCAUGG
Molecule: ribosomal RNA, 158 nt
Filed under: Rhopilema esculentum
Lineage: Eukaryota; Metazoa; Cnidaria; Scyphozoa; Rhizostomeae; Rhizostomatidae
Description: 5.8S ribosomal RNA
Rfam family: 5.8S ribosomal RNA
About the family: 5.8S ribosomal RNA (5.8S rRNA) is a component of the large subunit of the eukaryotic ribosome. It is transcribed by RNA polymerase I as part of the 45S precursor that also contains 18S and 28S rRNA.
Source: RNAcentral